RNAcentral lists this ribosomal RNA (208 nucleotides) under uncultured Latescibacterota bacterium. RNAcentral's name for it is "uncultured Latescibacteria bacterium partial 16S ribosomal RNA". It matches the Rfam family "Bacterial small subunit ribosomal RNA", at positions 568 to 775 of the family's 1533-position model. The record is from RNAcentral. Lineage: Bacteria; Pseudomonadati; Candidatus Latescibacterota.
CGUCUAGGCGGAUUGGUAAGUCAGGUGUGAAACCCCUCGGCUCAACCGGGGAUCUGCACUUGAUACUGCCAAUCUUGAGUAUGGAAGAGGAAAGCGGAAUUCCAGGUGUAGCGGUGAAAUGCGUAGAUAUCUGGAAGAACACCGGUGGCGAAGGCGGCUUUCUGGUCCAAUACUGACGCUAAAGCGCGAAAGUGUGGGGAGCAAACAG